Molecule: ribosomal RNA, 292 nt
Filed under: uncultured bacterium
Lineage: Bacteria
Description: partial 16S ribosomal RNA
Rfam family: Bacterial small subunit ribosomal RNA
Source: RNAcentral
GUGCCAGCCGCCGCGGUAAUACGGAGGAUGCAAGCGUUAUCCGGAAUGAUUGGGCGUAAAGCGUCCGCAGGUGGCUGUGUAAGUCUGCUGUCAAAGCGUCUGGCUUAACCAGAUAAAGGCAGUGGAAACUACACGGCUAGAGUGCGUUCGGGGCAGAGGGAAUUCCUGGUGUAGCGGUGAAAUGCGUAGAGAUCAGGAAGAACACCGGUGGCGAAGGCGCUCUGCUAGGCCGCAACUGACACUGAGGGACGAAAGCUAGGGGAGCGAAUGGGAUUAGAAACCCGAGUAGUCC